Molecule: non-coding RNA, 45 nt
Filed under: Schistosoma margrebowiei
Lineage: Eukaryota; Metazoa; Platyhelminthes; Trematoda; Strigeidida; Schistosomatidae
Source: RNAcentral
AUCUAGCUGACAAGUUCUAAACAGGAUGAAAUGCGCAUCCUGAAU